CACUCAGCUUUCUGAAAUGGUGUCCCACCACAAGGACUGGAGAAGGUCUUCUGUCAGCCUAACAAGCAUAGCAAGAAGAUAUAGCCCCACAACCACUUUAUGCACAUAGUUAGAAGCAUAAAAUCUCAUGGAAAGAGACCGAUUAUCCACAGAAGAUGUUGUCUUGCCAUUUCUCUCAUGUUAGAGGUAAACCUCAGGUUCUCCUCCUGCCUUUUGCUAAGUAUAUGUCUUGAUGACAAGCCUUCUGCUAAUGAGCUGUGUUUCUGGACCGAUCAUGGUAGAAGUCAAUUGAAGUGUCCCUCACUUGGGGUUUCUUAAGGUCAUCUAUGAACUGACUCUGUCUCAAAAAAAAGGAAGAAUGAAAAAAAAAAAAAACUAGGACACCGCUAACAGGAAUGGGGACAAAGAAUCUGCACUGAUGAGGAAACUGAAACAGAAAAUCCAGAGUAAAUUCCACCAGGCCACACAGCAAGGUCUGAUAGAGCCAGGAGAGACUUUAUGAAAUCCAGACUCUCACACUAAUGCUCUAUCAGCUAGACCUCCAUGUGAGUCUCCCCAAUGUAGGUAGGAAGCACUUUCCC
This 581-nucleotide long non-coding RNA is filed under the name Pongo abelii (Sumatran orangutan). RNAcentral's name for it is "lincRNA". Lineage: Eukaryota; Metazoa; Chordata; Mammalia; Primates; Hominidae. The record is from RNAcentral.